GCUCGGCGUGGUGGCGGGCGCCUGUAAUCCCAGCUACACAGGAGGCUGAGGCAGGAGAAUCACUUGAACCCAGGAGGCUGAGGUUGCAGUGAGCUAAGAUCGUACCACUGCACUCCAGCCUGGGCGACAGAGUGAGACUCUGUCUCAA
RNAcentral lists this non-coding RNA (148 nucleotides) under Pan paniscus (pygmy chimpanzee). RNAcentral also lists the same sequence under 1 other name. The record is from Rfam by way of RNAcentral. Lineage: Eukaryota; Metazoa; Chordata; Mammalia; Primates; Hominidae.